CAACUCCAAACACGGAGUGCCUGAGGUGAGCCGAGCCGUCCGAAUCAUCUGGACCCCGACAGAAAACAAAAGGCCAGCGUCAUUUCAGAUCAAAUGUGGAAAACGACGCUUCAGAUUAAAGUGGAAGUGAGCAUACAGAGCAGCAAGUGAAAACUGCGCAGCCGCAGAGCAGACUAAACUUAAUUCAACAGCAGGAUCUCUGCAGCCCGUUGAUGAAGACGUCG
Non-coding RNA from Oryzias latipes (Japanese medaka), 224 nucleotides. The record is from RefSeq and is a predicted model, not a curated record. NCBI's taxonomy places the organism in Eukaryota, Metazoa, Chordata, Actinopteri, Beloniformes, Adrianichthyidae.